CCCUUAGAUGUUCUGGGCUGCACACGUGCUACACUGGCAGGUUCAGCGAGCUACAUGCCCUGAUCUGAAAGGAAUGGGAAAUCUUUUCAAAACCUGCCGUGCUUGGGAUAGAUGUUUGCAAUUAUUCAUCUUCAACGAGGAUUGCCUUGUAAGCGCACGUCAUCAGCGUGCAUUGAAUACGACCCUGUAUUCUGUACACACCGCCCGUCGCUCCUACCGAUUGAAGUUUUCGGUGAGUUGACAGGAGGAUUUUUUUGAAACUGGUUCGCCAGUGGAUUUUAGAUCCAAAUGCCAACGAAUCGAUGGCUUUAGAGGAAGGAGAAGUCGUAACA
Molecule: ribosomal RNA, 332 nt
Filed under: uncultured eukaryote
Lineage: Eukaryota
Description: partial 18S ribosomal RNA
Rfam family: Eukaryotic small subunit ribosomal RNA
Source: RNAcentral